CGUCAGCUCGUGUCGUGAGAUGUUCGGUUAAGUCCGCUAACGAGCGCAACCCUCGCUGUGUGUUACAAAGUGUCACACGGAACUGCCGGUCAUAAACCGGAGGAAGGUGGGGAUGACGUCAAGUCAGCAUGGCCUUUAUAUCCUGGGCUACACACACGCUACAAUGGGAAGGGACAAUAGGUUGCGAAGCCGCGAGGCGGAGCCAAUCCAGCAAAACUUCCCUCAGUUCAGAUUGCAGGCUGCAACCCGCCUGCAUGAAGUUGGAGUUGCUAGUAAACGCAGGUCAGCCAUACUGCGUUGAAUACGUUCCCGGGGCUU
RNAcentral lists this ribosomal RNA (318 nucleotides) under uncultured Anaerolineaceae bacterium. RNAcentral describes it as "bacterial SSU rRNA". It matches the Rfam family "Bacterial small subunit ribosomal RNA", at positions 1053 to 1382 of the family's 1533-position model. Lineage: Bacteria; Bacillati; Chloroflexota; Anaerolineae; Anaerolineales; Anaerolineaceae. The record is from RNAcentral.